UACAGAGGGUGCGAGCGUUGUCCGGAAUCACUGGGCGUAAAGGGCGCGUAGGCGGCCCGGUAAGGUUGCGGUGAAAUCCCCGGGCUCAACCCGGGAACUGCGUCCGAUACUGGAAGGCUUGAAUCCGGGAGAGGGAUGCGGAAUUCCAGGUGUAGCGGUGAAAUGCGUAGAUAUCUGGAGGAACACCGGUGGCGAAGGCGGCAUCCUGGACCGGCAUUGACGCUGAGGCGCGAAAGCCAGGGGAGCAAACGGG
RNAcentral lists this ribosomal RNA (253 nucleotides) under uncultured bacterium. Its description in RNAcentral is "partial 16S ribosomal RNA". It matches the Rfam family "Bacterial small subunit ribosomal RNA", at positions 524 to 776 of the family's 1533-position model. The record is from RNAcentral.